AUCUCAGAUCUCCUUUGCCAUCUCCUUUGCCAAAGCGAUGUCCCGGUCUUAGGGAGAUUUGUCGGCGCCGCAAAGAAGAUUUGUCGCCGCCGCAAAGCAGGAUGACGACUGUA
This 113-nucleotide small RNA is filed under the name Sinorhizobium meliloti 2011. RNAcentral describes it as "putative ncRNA". Lineage: Bacteria; Pseudomonadati; Pseudomonadota; Alphaproteobacteria; Hyphomicrobiales; Rhizobiaceae. The record is from RNAcentral.